Molecule: unclassified non-coding RNA, 338 nt
Filed under: soil metagenome
Description: partial contains 5.8S ribosomal RNA, internal transcribed spacer 2, and large subunit ribosomal RNA
Rfam family: 5.8S ribosomal RNA (bases 1-120)
Source: RNAcentral
GAUGAAGAACGUAGCGAAAUGCGAUAAGUAGUGUGAAUUGCAGAAUUCAGUGAAUCAUCGAAUCUUUGAACGCACAUUGCGCCCGGCAGUACUCUGCCGGGCAUGCCUGUUCGAGCGUCAUUUCAACCCUCAAGCCCUGCUUGGUGUUGGGGCCCCACGGCUGCCGUGGGCCCUGAAAGGAAGUGGCGGGCUCGCUACAACUCCGAGCGUAGUAAUUCAUUAUCUCGCUUAGGGCGUUGGGCGGCGCUCCAGCCGUUAAAGAACCAUCUUUAACUCAAGGUUGACCUCGGAUCAGGUAGGAAUACCCGCUGAACUUAAGCAUAUCAAUAAGCGGAGGA